This 253-nucleotide ribosomal RNA is filed under the name uncultured bacterium. Its description in RNAcentral is "partial 16S ribosomal RNA". It matches the Rfam family "Bacterial small subunit ribosomal RNA", at positions 524 to 776 of the family's 1533-position model. The record is from RNAcentral.
UACAGAGGUCCCAAGCGUUGUUCGGAUUCACUGGGCGUAAAGGGUGCGUAGGUGGUGAGGUAAGUCGGAUGUGAAAUCUCCGGGCUCAACCCGGAAAUGGCAUUGGAAACUACCUUGCUGGAGGAUUUGAGGGGGGAUUGGAAUACUUGGUGUAGCAGUGAAAUGCGCAGAUAUCAGGAGGAACACCGGUGGCGAAGGCGGGUCUCUGGGCCGAUACUGACGCUGAGGAGCGAAAGCGUGGGGAGCGAACAGG